GAAUUCGAUUAGAGUUUGAUCAUGGCUCAGGACGAACGCUGGCGGCGUGCUUAACACAUGCAAGUCGAACGGAGAUUGAGAGGAAGCUUGCGAAUCUCAAACUUAGUGGCGAACGGGUGAGUAACGCGUGGAUAACCUGCCUGUUAGACUGGGAUAACAGCUGGAAACGGCUGCUAAUACCAGAUACGCUUGCGAGAUCGCAUGAUCUUGCAAGGAAAGCUUUCGUGCUAACAGAUGGAUCCGCGUCCCAUUAGCUAGUUGGUGGUGUAAGGGACCACCAAGGCGACGAUGGGUAGCCGGCCUGAGAGGGCGACCGGCCACACUGGGACUGAGACACGGCCCAGACUCCUACGGGAGGCAGCAGUGGGGAAUCUUCCGCAAUGGGCGAAAGCCUGACGGAGCAACGCCGCGUGAGGGAAGAAGGCCUUCGGGUUGUAAACCUCUGUUUUCAGGGAAGAAAAGAUGACGGUACCUGAAGAGUAAGCCCCGGCUAACUACGUGCCAGCAGCCGCGGCAAUACGUAGGGGGCAAGCGUUGUCCGGAUUUACUGGGCGUAAAGGGCGCGUAGGUGGUCCAUUAAGUUAGAGGUUAAAGUUCGGGGCUCAACCCCGUGAUGCCUCUGAUACUGGUGGACUUGAGUGCAGGAGAGGGGAGCAGAAUUCCCAGUGUAGCGGUGAAAUGCGUAGAUAUUGGGAGGAAUACCAGUGGCGAAGGCGGCUCUCUGGACUGUAACUGACACUGAGGCGCGAAAGCGUGGGGAGCGAACAGGAUUAGAUACCCUGGUAGUCCACGCCGUAAACGAUGAGUGCUAGGUGUUGCGGGUAUCGACCCCUGCAGUGCCGUAGUAAACACAAUAAGCACUCCGCCUGGGGAGUACGGUCGCAAGACUGAAACUCAAAGGAAUUGACGGGGGCCCGCACAAGCGGUGGAGUAUGUGGUUUAAUUCGACGCAACGCGAAGAACCUUACCAGGGCUUGACAUCGCGCGAAAGCCGUAGAGAUACGGUGCUCUACUUCGGUAGACGCGUAGACAGGUGGUGCAUGGUUGUCGUCAGCUCGUGUCGUGAGAUGUUGGGUUAAGUCCCGCAACGAGCGCAACCCCUAACAUUAGUUGCCAGCGAGUAAAGUCGGGAACUCUAAUGUGACUGCCGUUGACAAAACGGAGGAAGGUGGGGAUGACGUCAAAUCAUCAUGCCCCUUAUGUCCUGGGCUACACACGUACUACAAUGGCCGGUACAGACGGAAGCGAAGCCGUGAGGUGGAGCAAACCUGAGAAAGCCGGUCCCAGUUCGGAUUGUAGUCUGCAACUCGACUAC
Molecule: ribosomal RNA, 1315 nt
Filed under: uncultured bacterium
Lineage: Bacteria
Description: bacterial SSU rRNA
Rfam family: Bacterial small subunit ribosomal RNA
Source: RNAcentral